CGUGUAGGCUGCUUCGCAAGUCGGAUGUGAAAGCCCUGGGCUCAACCCAGGAAGUGCAUUCGAAACUGCAGAGCUGGAGUCCUGGAGAGGAAGGCGGAAUUCUCGGUGUAGAGGUGAAAUUCGUAGAUAUCGAGAGGAACACCGGUGGCGAAGGCGGCCUUCUGGACAGUGACUGACGCUGAGACGCGAAAGCGUGGGGAGCAAACAGGAUUAGAUACCCUGGUAGUCCACGCCGUAAACGAUGGGUGCUAGGUGUUGCGGGCUUUGACCCCUGCAGUGCCGUAGCUAACGCAUUAAGCACCCCGCCUGGGGAGUACGGCCGCAAGGCUAAA
Molecule: ribosomal RNA, 332 nt
Filed under: uncultured Aetherobacter sp.
Lineage: Bacteria; Pseudomonadati; Myxococcota; Polyangiales; Polyangiaceae
Description: bacterial SSU rRNA
Rfam family: Bacterial small subunit ribosomal RNA
Source: RNAcentral